This 274-nucleotide ribosomal RNA is filed under the name uncultured bacterium. RNAcentral's name for it is "partial 16S ribosomal RNA". It matches the Rfam family "Bacterial small subunit ribosomal RNA", at positions 523 to 796 of the family's 1533-position model. The record is from RNAcentral.
AUACGAAGGGGGCUAGCGUUGUUCGGAAUUACUGGGCGUAAAGCGCGCGUAGGCGGACUGAUCAGUUGGGGGUGAAAUCCCAGGGCUUAACCCUGGAACUGCCUCCAAUACUGUCAGUCUUGAGUUCGGGAGAGGUGAGUGGAACUCCUAGUGUAGAGGUGAAAUUCGUAGAUAUUAGGAAGAACACCAGUGGCGAAGGCGGCUCACUGGCCCGAUACUGACGCUGAGGCGCGAAAGCGUGGGGAGCAAACAGGAUUAGAAACCCUAGUAGUCC